Molecule: non-coding RNA, 104 nt
Filed under: Lithodesmium undulatum
Lineage: Eukaryota; Bacillariophyta; Thalassiosirophyceae; Lithodesmiales; Lithodesmiaceae
Source: RNAcentral
CGGGUAUAGUUUUUAAUAUAAUUUAUUAAACAUGACUUAAAAUGUCAGGAUCGCAAGAUAGCAGCAUAAAGUCUAGAUUAUAGGUUAGUAUUAAAUCUAUACCU